AGCGGGAUCAGCUGCAUUGUGGGAAGCCCUAGGCCGCAGGCCCGACAACUACCAUGGCGACCAACAUCGAGGAGAUCUUCCGCUCGUUCGUGGUGAAGAAGAUCAAGGAGAUCGAGGACGAGAAGCACCAGAGUGGAAAGGUGAGCAAUGAAGCAAAUGGUGAAAUUAAAACGGAGAUGGAGCCGAAGGAGUCUGAAGUUGUGGUUGCUACCACAGAGGACACACAGGAAGAGCAGAUUGUAAACAAUAAUGAAAAUGCAUUAUCUAGCUUGGAUGAAAAGCAAAGUGAUAAUCCUGAUAAUAAAGAGAAUAUGACUGUAGACAGCAUAACAACAGAACCAGUUAAUUGCCCGGCGUUGGAUAACAAAGAAGAUAGUUCAACUCCAUCAAAAAAAAGCAAAAAACAUAAACAUAAGCAUCACCACAAGAGUAAGAAGAAAAAGAAAAAGAAGAAGAAAAAAGAUGACAAGAAAAGAGACCGCGAAAGGUCUCGGUCAAAAUCUCAGAUAAGUCUGAAGUCAGAGCCUGACUUAAAAUUAGAAUCGCAAUCAAAAUCACACUCCAAAUCGCCGCUGCGCACUGAAUGUGGUAACGAAGAGAGUAAAAAUUGCUCCCUUUUGAUGGAAUCGGGCAGCACUGAAUUAAAUAAAAAUACAUUAGAAACAAUUGAUGUGAAUACGGUUGAACCAAUAGGAGUUGAGAAAGAGUGCUCAGUGGCUGAAAUUAAGCCAUUGCCACAGGAAAAAUGUAACAUAGAUGAAAAUGCAAAAGAGAACAUUGCUGAUGACACAAAUAAUGGUAUUGAAUGUGCUACUACUGGAAAUGUUCCUGAAUUAUUGGCUGCAGUAUCAGCUUGUGAUCAGGACGAGGCAAAUAGAUUGAUCCCUGAUAGAAGUUCAGACAAUUUACAGUCAAGAUCUACUCAGACUAUUGAAGAUAAAAAUAAACAUGAACAAUCUGAAGGAAAGAGAGCGAAACGAAGUCGGUCAAGAUCUCCGUCAAAAUCAAUAAAACAUCACAAAUCGCAGCCGCAUUCCCACUCUCAACAUUCUCCUGUAAAGAAAUCAUGUGCCAGCUCCAUUACUAGACGACAUACAUCACAGAGUUCAUCUUCCAGGAAAAGGCCAUCGCCAACUCGACAGAGAUCAAAAUCAACUUCAAGGGAAAGGAAAAAACACACAGAAUCAUCCCCAAAGUCCAAAAGGAAAUCAUCUAGAUCUCGUUCUAUCGCAAAAAAAGAACAACGGUCAAAAUCGAAAUCUCGUUCACCUUUACGGAUACGCCAUAAAUCAAGAUCAAACUCUAUAACAAGGUCCAAAGGCCAGUCAAAAUCACGACGCUAUUCUAGAUCUUGCUCACGUUCAAAACGCAGGAGUAGGACUAGAUCAGGUUCUCCCCGGCGAUCAAAAUCUGGAGUAAAACGAUCACGUUCGCCAAGACCCAGGUCAAGGUCCAAUGAGCGGGUAGUUCGUCCAUCAGCUUCGAGAGGAUACCUUAGUAGACUUGUGAGGACACGGAGGUCACCUGAUUGGCGAAGGAGAUCCAGAUCUCCUUUGAGGAGAAAAAGUAACAGUAGAACGCCUGAACGUCUCACUGAUUUGGAUAAAGCACAGUUGCUAGAGAUAGCAAAAGCCAAUGCUGCAGCCAUGUGUGCCAAAGCUGGAAUGCCUCUGCCAGCAAACUUGAAACCUGUUGUGCCUCUUAUUAAAAAAGUGAUCUCCAAAAAAAUGGGUUGUUCAUCAAUACAAGAAUUCACAGAGAAAUGCAAGAAAAUAGUGGAAAGCAAUGAUGAUAACGAAUCGGGUAGCAAACCUCGUGCCCCUCCAGAGGAUGAACCAUUCAGUAAUCAACCAAUUAAAGUUAAUGAACUGAAACCCAUUUCUUUCAGCUUGAAUAAUGCCACAGUGAAACCAGCUGCAAAAACCCAGGUGGCUUUGACUAAGGAGUUUCCAGUUUCCUCUGGUUCACAGCACAGGAAGAAGGAGGUGCUGAAUGUUUAUGGACAAUGGGUUCCUGUGGAAAAAAGUAGUAAAGAAACCACUGAUGAUGAUGUCUUUCCAGAUGUCUGUACUGAGGCCGUGGAUAUCUCUACAACAAUGACUGAGAGGUCAACAGCACAGAAACGCCUUGUUAAGAAUCCAUACGAUGUGGAGGCAAUGUCAAUGAUACUCAGGACACAGGAACAGAUUGAUGUGUGGGCUCAGGCAAACUCUCUGCCUGGUCAGUUCACAGGUAGUACUGGAGCUCAAGUCUUGACCUAUGAGGAAUUAACACAUAGUGGUCCUCAAGCCUGGAUCAGGAAGCAGGUGCAAAAGCAGGACGGAACCCUGGGCGACAUUGGCUGGGGUUUGUAUCAUUCUCUGCAUGGUUGCCUCUUUCUUUUCUGAGGUUCCUCGAAAAACAGGGUAAGAAGGAAACGGAAGUAAGUAAAAACCAUCCAGGUUUUUGGGAUGAGUCUCCUGGUAUUCCACAUCAUUGGUUUAUUUGAAGCGUUACUCUAUGCUGUUUAGACAGUUUCUGCAUGUGUUCCAGUACGUCGUUAAAGAAAGAAAACUUUUAAGUUUCAAAGAUGUUUCUGAUUAAUUGUAAUGAACUUUGAAUUCUAUGGUUUGCUUAAAACAAUAAUUGAAGACAGCAGUAUGAAAACAGUUAAAGUCUUAAUUAAAUAACCUACUAAACUAAUUGAAUUCUAUAUAUUAACUAUAAUUUUCUUAAUCUCAGUCCUUUAUGAAUCUGAUGCUUUAUAUUCACGAUUCAACAUACAUUUGGCGCUCAUGCAUGAGUUGUUUUAAAUUUAAAAACAAUGACUGUACUAAAAUAACUUGUAUUUGCAUGGUUUAACAUUUUAAUUAGAUUUUAUAGUUUUACUUUUUCCAAAAAUAAAGCCUAACAGUAAAUGUGUUUACUGUGAUAUCACAUUUUGUCAGUGGGUAACCUCAAAACUCUGGGGUUUCUUUACAGCUGAACACGGCUGCUGAUUAAAAGUUAAAAUAGCUUUUUUUUGCCACUUUAGCUAUGAUGAUUUAUUUAAUUCUGGGUGGAUUACUAACUACAGAUAUUUAAUAUAUUCAUGAGCAAAAUACCUUUUAAUAAUAGUCCAGAGUAGCACCUCGAUAUUCAGGUCAAUGGUACAAUUAUCUUCCCCUUUUUUUUUUUAAGUGGAUGCAAUAUAAUGAAACUUAUAUUGCCUGUAAUAUUACAUGGUUUGCCUCAUUAUCACACUUUAAUAACCAUUAACUAUUAAAUUGACCAUGCAAAUCGUAUAACUAUUAGCAUUUGACUGCUGGAUCGGGUUUCCCCAUAGGGUAUUAAUAGUCACUUAUCCCUACAAAAUUUGACAUUUUGUUGAGCUAUGAUAUUCAACAAUGGCUGGUGUUGAGUUGGCAGAGAGAGUGAGGAGGGACAAAGGGAAGCGAUGGUUCAUAACUGAGCUGAAAACUUCCCCUUCUCCGUAGACUAGUUAAAUCCUUUUAGCUGCCUUGUUGCCGUGUGCAGUCUCAAUGGAGGCCUAGCUGUGUACACUUUUUCCUUGGCUUUCAAAUGCAUAGCUUUCAUCUGCACUCCAAAUAUCUAAACAGCAGGCAUAGCAAAUUAUACGCUAGCCCUCUUCAACCGUUUGCAAUGUAUUCAAACUCCAUAUAUCGGCCUUUUCCCCCAUAUUUAUAAUUAACAUUUGAUUGAAGGUCAAUUGUUAUUUGUAGAAUACAAUUUAAACUGUCACAGGUAGUAAGUAAUUCACUUUUGUUUCAUGGGAUGGAUCUUUGCAGAAUUUCUAUCAAAAAUGUCUUCCCAUUUUCCUAUACUCUAUACCAAGCCUGUUAUGAUUGUGCAUCUCUGUAUGAAUGAAGUCUGGAGCAAACAGUCCAGGUAAUCCUCCCCAAUCCUCCCAUGUUGGAAUAUCACAAAUUUUUAUUUGAGAAUGAUGCUGAGGCAGGGAGAUUUGAAACAUACAUAUCUACACUAAAUAAUGUUUUUCUCCACAAAGUCCUACCUACUGCAAUCUACACAGCUUACUUUGCAUAUCUUAGAUAAUAUUAUUUCUAUAUUUUGUUUUACCAGUGAAAGGAUUUUUUUUUUUGUUACAGAGCAUGGAUUAAGGGCUAAAUCACCGGAUAGUAUUGAAAUUACGGACGGCCUAAGCUUAGAUGAAUUAUGCCAGCUUCACUUUCUGCAGCUUUCUAUUGCAUUUGAUUCACACUCACCAAAUGUUCAGUUUUGCACCCUUUACGAUGCACUCCAUUUAUGACCAGUCUGUCAGCAGAAACUGCUUUUAAACUCUUUAUAUGCAUCCAAGUUACAAGUAUUAACCUAGCUUCCUACUUAUUUUAAUUUGUUCCUUUUCAGCCACUGUGUGUCCCUUUAGUCGCAACUAUUCUGCCAGGCCAUUUGGUUAAUUGUUGCCAAGUUUACAUUGUCUUUUACUUUAAUAAUAUUUCAAGUUAAAUACUAAAUAUUAAGUUAAUGUAAUUUUCAAACCAACUUAUCUACUACUUAUUCCCACUCUGACUAAAUUUACAUCCUGCUCAAGGCCCUUCUGCUCAUUUCCAUUUAUGAUCACAACUACACUGUCUUUUUGAAGCAUGUUUCCCGAAAGCUCUUUAAACAGUGAUUUAAUUAUUUACAUUUUUAAUUUGGAUUAUUUGAUUCAUAUUUAAGAUGUGUUGUGUAAUGAUGCAUUCAGAAAAUUCAGAUCUGUAUAGCUGUAAAGAUGACAUUGACAUCUUGGAAGAUUUGUUUUCAUUAAACCUGUCUGCUUACGAACAGGAUCAGUUCCUGAAAGCUGCCCCUUUAACUGGAGGAAUGGGAGCACAAUUGAUGCAAAAAAUGGGAUGGAGAGAAGGAGAAGGACUGGGAAAAAACAAAAAUGGAACGGUAGAGCCUAUAGUUGUUGACUUCAAGACUGACCGUAAAGGUCUGGUAGCAGAAGGAGAGAAAGCACAGAAGAAAUCUGGAAAUUUCCCAGCACUGAAGGACUUAUCAGGAAAACACCCAGUUUCUGCUUUAAUGGAAAUUUGUAACAAGAGAAAAUGGGCCCCACCUGAUUUUUUGAUGAUUCGUGACAGUGGCCCAGAUCAUUGCAAACAUUUUCUAUUUAAG
Amblyraja radiata (thorny skate) is the source of this 5097-nucleotide RNA transcript. It is a transcript of the gene named protein SON, with no coding region annotated. The transcript has 11 exons. Lineage: Eukaryota; Metazoa; Chordata; Chondrichthyes; Rajiformes; Rajidae. The record is from RefSeq and is a predicted model, not a curated record.